Molecule: small RNA, 106 nt
Filed under: Klebsiella variicola 342
Lineage: Bacteria; Pseudomonadati; Pseudomonadota; Gammaproteobacteria; Enterobacterales; Enterobacteriaceae
Description: Klebsiella pneumoniae 342 Salmonella enterica Typhi npcRNA 44
Rfam family: Salmonella enterica Typhi npcRNA 44
Source: Rfam by way of RNAcentral
CUUUAAAAAUCUGGAUCAAGCUGAAAAUUGAAACGACACACUGUUUAAGUGUGUUCGAGUCUCUCAAAUUUUCGCGACACGAUGGUGUUUUACGAAACAUCUUCGG